GAGCCCAUAGCUCAGUCGGUAGAGCAUCUCACUUUUAAUGAGAGGGUCGAUGGUUCGAGUCCAUCUGGGCUCACCA
Molecule: transfer RNA, 76 nt
Filed under: Bdellovibrionales bacterium
Lineage: Bacteria; Pseudomonadati; Bdellovibrionota; Bdellovibrionia; Bdellovibrionales
Description: tRNA-Lys
Rfam family: tRNA
About the family: Transfer RNA (tRNA) molecules are approximately 80 nucleotides in length. Their secondary structure includes four short double-helical elements and three loops (D, anti-codon, and T loops).
Source: RNAcentral